RNAcentral lists this long non-coding RNA (1038 nucleotides) under Oryctolagus cuniculus (rabbit). RNAcentral describes it as "lncRNA (ENSOCUG00000032640.1)". Lineage: Eukaryota; Metazoa; Chordata; Mammalia; Lagomorpha; Leporidae. The record is from RNAcentral.
GUGGGGGGCCUAGGAUGGGUCGGUUCUCGCCCCCUGGGGACCCUCUGGCAGGUGGGAGGGCGAGGCCCAUCUCUGGCUUGCGCACGGCGGCGUGGGGUGGCCUGGAAGCGGGAACAGGCCAGGGCCGCGCUGACUUACAAGGCGCCCUGGGGAAGGCCAGGACGAGGAAAUCUAGGGUUCAGGUCCCUGGGCGUCCCCUCAGCGAGCGCAGCCCCUCCCAGAGCAGAACUCCUGGGCUCCUGGAGUCACCCUCCCAGCGAAGCAGAAAUAUGGCCACGUCCUGGGAGGGGCAGGCAGCGGCUCCCUCUGCGCAGCCCCGGCCUUUCCCUUGGCCCGCUCGCCAGUGUCAGCCCAACCUGCCGGCCCCUCUGGGGCGUCGCGGCACUGGCGUCUGAACCCAGCAGCCCCGCGCCGUGGAGCCUGGGGCGCCCACUUGGCUUCUUGCAGCCUCACCGGAUCCACCCCAGGGCACGGGUGGGGAAGGCACUGGGCGCCCAGGCUGUGAGCAGGACUGGGGGGAGGGUGGGUUCUGGAAAAGCACUGGAGCCAGGGGGGCAGAGGGGACUGUUUACCUUGGGCCCGGGGCGGGCUAGGAACUUCCCCCACCCACGCCGCAUUCCUGAGCGCCCCUGUCAGCCGCGGGCCAGGUCCCAGGAAGGCCUGCGCGGCCAGACACCCGCGUCCCAGGGUGGAGGAUGGGCACGGGGGAGGAGGAAGAGCCUGGCUGGAGGGGCCCCUGGUGGCCAGGCGGCUGGGGAGAGGCCAUGUGACAAGCCCCCACCCCCACCCAUGGCACACAGGGAGGGAGAGGGCUUCCUGCCACCCCGCCCCACACAGGCCAGCACACGCAGGGGUUGGAAGCAGCGCAGCCGAGGCAGGAGGGUUUCGGUACAAUCUAUAUUAUCUCAUAUAUAUAUAUAUACUUCUUCCUCACUUUAUCUGCUCACUUCUGUCACGCAUUUAAAAUGUCACAGAGACCAAAAUAGAGCGGCUUUCUGGUGGAGCUCAGGGCAGUCAUACAACGAGAUACAAAACUAG